GCAGAAACGAUAUAUAUUUAGGUC
RNAcentral lists this non-coding RNA (24 nucleotides) under Arabidopsis thaliana (thale cress). Lineage: Eukaryota; Viridiplantae; Streptophyta; Magnoliopsida; Brassicales; Brassicaceae. The record is from RNAcentral.